GAAAUCCCAAGCACACUCUUUCGUCCUUCGCUUGUCAAGUCUGCAAUGCCCAGAAAUUAUCUUUCUGCCUUUUCUCAUUCCGUUGUCAUUCUAUAUAGAAUAGCAUAGCAAUAGAAAUCAGCUUAAUUAUCUUGUUUGCCUUAUGAAAUGGGAAGUAGCAGCGGAAGCGAUGUGGAAGCAGGAUUCGCCAAGCUACAAGGCGAAGAUUUCGAGUAUUACAUGCAGACAUACUCCAUAGUCCUCGGCCGCAACUCCAAGAAGUCAACCGUCGAUGUUGACUUAUCCUCUCUCGGCGGCGGAAUGAACAUCUCACGUCACCACGCUCGUAUCUUCUACGACUUCCAACGCCGUCGUUUUGCCCUCGAAGUAUUGGGGAAGAACGGUUGUUUCGUUGAAGGUGUCCUCCAUCUCCCCGGUAACCCGCCGGUGAAACUAGAUUCACAGGAUUUACUUCAGAUCGGAGAUAAGGAGUUCUAUUUCCUUCUUCCAAUUCGUAGUAUUUUAGGUGGACCAAUUGGGCCUAGACAUCAUGUGAAUGUGAACUAUCCAGCAGGGGGUUCUCCUAUGCUGCCGCAUCAUCAGCCGCAUAUGCCCUUGCCUCCACCAGUGGGUUAUGGUGGGGUAGGGAAGAAGGGUUUCUUAAGAGGGAGGGAGUAUUAUGAAGAGGAGUAUGAUGAUGAUGAUGGUGGGGAAGCUGGUUCUGGAACUAAGAAGAUGAGGAGAGGGGAUGGUAUUGAGGGUGGUGGGUAUGGAUAUGGCUCUGGUGGUUCUAGUGGGAAGAUUGCGGUUCCUGCGCAUCUGGAUAAGAAGAUAGAUGGAAUAUCACGUGUUGAAAGAGAUGCUGACAACCAACAGCUGAUGCAGUUAGAAGAGAAGGACGUUGUAUCAUCUGUAGCAAAUGUGCUUUCUGACCUCUGCGGUCCAGGAGAAUGGAUGCCAAUGGAGAAGCUUCAUGCUGAGUUGGUGGAACACUACGGCAAUACCUGGCACCAUAGUCGUGUGAGGAGAUACUUGACAUCUGAGGACUAUCCUAGCGCUGAAGCUAAAUCCAAGCCAUGGUAUGGAUUGCUGAUGCUUUUGAGAAAAUACCCAGAGCAUUUU
RNAcentral lists this unclassified non-coding RNA (1101 nucleotides) under Hevea brasiliensis (rubber tree). Lineage: Eukaryota; Viridiplantae; Streptophyta; Magnoliopsida; Malpighiales; Euphorbiaceae. The record is from RNAcentral.